Molecule: ribosomal RNA, 201 nt
Filed under: uncultured bacterium
Lineage: Bacteria
Description: partial 16S ribosomal RNA
Rfam family: Bacterial small subunit ribosomal RNA
Source: RNAcentral
UACUCCUACGGGAGGCAGCAGUAGGGAAUCUUCCACAAUGGACGCAAGUCUGAUGGAGCAACGCCGCGUGAGUGAAGAAGGUCUUCGGAUCGUAAAGCUCUGUUGUUGGUGAAGAAGGAUAGAGGCAGUAACUGGUCUUUAUUUGACGGUAAUCAACCAGAAAGUCACGGCUAACUACGUGCCAGCAGCCGCGGUAAUUGA